GAUGAACGCUGGCGGCGUGCCUAAUACAUGCAAGUCGAGCGAACAGACGAGGAGCUUGCUCCUCUGACGUUAGCGGCGUACGGGUGAGUAACACGUGGAUAACCUACCUAUAAGACUGGGAUAACUUCGGGAAACCGGAGCUAAUACCGGAUAACAUGUUGAACCGCAUGGUUCAACAGUGAAAGACGGUCUUGCUGUCACUUAUAGAUGGAUCCGCGCCGCAUUAGCUAGUUGGUAAGGUAACGGCUUACCAAGGCAACGAUGCGUAGCCGACCUGAGAGGGUGAUCGGCCACACUGGAACUGAGACACGGUCCAGACUCCUACGGGAGGCAGCAGUAGGGAAUCUUCCGCAAUGGGCGAAAGCCUGACGGAGCAACGCCGCGUGAGUGAAGAAGGUCUUCGGAUCGUAAAACUCUGUUAUUAGGGAAGAACAAAUGUGUAAGUAACUAUGCACGUCUUGACGGUACCUAAUCAGAAAGCCACGGCUAACUACGUG
This 497-nucleotide ribosomal RNA is filed under the name uncultured bacterium. RNAcentral's name for it is "partial 16S ribosomal RNA". It matches the Rfam family "Bacterial small subunit ribosomal RNA", at positions 28 to 507 of the family's 1533-position model. The record is from RNAcentral.